This 253-nucleotide ribosomal RNA is filed under the name uncultured bacterium. RNAcentral describes it as "partial 16S ribosomal RNA". It matches the Rfam family "Bacterial small subunit ribosomal RNA", at positions 524 to 776 of the family's 1533-position model. The record is from RNAcentral.
UACGUAGGGGGCAAGCGUUGUCCGGAUUUAUUGGGCGUAAAGCGCUCGCAGGUGGUUCGUCGCGUCGUGCGUGAAAGACCCCGGCUCAACUGGGGAGGGUCGUGCGAUACGGGCGGACUGGAGGCCAGUAGGGGGAUGCGGAAUUCCGGGUGUAGUGGUGGAAUGCGUAGAGAUCCGGAGGAACACCAGCGGCGAAGGCGGCAUCCUGGACUGGUCCUGACACUCAUGAGCGAAAGCGUGGGGAGCGAUCCGG